RNAcentral lists this ribosomal RNA (501 nucleotides) under uncultured bacterium. RNAcentral describes it as "partial 16S ribosomal RNA". It matches the Rfam family "Bacterial small subunit ribosomal RNA", at positions 30 to 523 of the family's 1533-position model. The record is from RNAcentral.
AUUGAACGCUGGCGGCAUGCCUUACACAUGCAAGUCGAACGGCAGCACGGGUGCUUGCACCUGGUGGCGAGUGGCGAACGGGUGAGUAAUACAUCGGAACGUACCUUAUCGUGGGGGAUAACGCAGCGAAAGUUGCGCUAAUACCGCAUACGCCCUGAGGGGGAAAGCGGGGGACCGUAAGGCCUCGCGCGAUUAGAGCGGCCGAUGUCUGAUUAGCUUGUUGGUGAGGUAAAAGCUAACCAAGGCGAUGAUCAGUAGCUGGUCUGAGAGGACGAUCAGCCACACUGGGACUGAGACACGGCCCAGACUCCUACGGGAGGCAGCAGUGGGGAAUUUUGGACAAUGGGGGCAACCCUGAUCCAGCAAUGCCGCGUGAGUGAAGAAGGCCUUCGGGUUGUAAAGCUCUUUUGUCAGGGAAGAAACAGCAGCUCUAACACAGCCUGCGAAUGACGGUACCUGAAGAAUAAGCACCGGCUAACUACGUGCCAGCAGCCGCAGUAA